UAGGCUAGUCUAGCUUAGGGGUGUUUUGAAUACUUAUUGUUUCUUUCCUUGGGUCCAUCUCAGCCCCUUUUCCUGCUCCCUCCAUUACAAUGUGUUUAUUAAUAAACCCUGAGUUUGACGGUAGAUUUCAGUUGUCCUGGUUAUUUCGUUCACACUUUUACUUUGUCACUAUUAUAAAUUGCAUGAGUUGUUACGGUCUCAUUACCAUCCCCCUAGACUGUCGGGCCAAAAGGGAUUCGUAACAGCAUGCUACAGUAGUUUAUUUUCGGUUCCAGUGUAUGGCACAGGUUUAUUCUGCAUGUAUCUCGCAGUAUCAGUCAUUUAUUAGCUAAUACAUGUAUUAUGUUAGCUAGUUUAAUGGUGUGAAAAUUGUGAUAAUAGCCUUACAUUUCAAUCUACAUAUGCAUAUGGGUCUGCUAUGUUAGGUAGGCUAUUCAAUUCCCUUGACAUUUCGCAAGCUUGAGUACUUUACAAUAAGGGAAGAUAUGCAUUGUGUUAAUCUUACUAUUUGCCCAUUAGAUCUGACAUGCAUUGAAUGCUAGACAACUUUACAUGUAUGCUUUCCAUAAAUGCCAUGUGUACUUUGCAAAGAUGAAACCCUUCCGUGUUGAUUCUCCCUUCCUGUAUCUGUCAUAGGCCUAUGCAUUUUUGUCCUAUUGCUUGUUGUGGAAAUUUCCUCUAUUUACCAAAUCAUGGGAGCAAACCACACAAGUCAGAGUUAGUUAUCAAAGUCCAUCUUUAAUUAUAUCAGCUCAGCUCUAUCACAAUCCAGUGACUCUCAAUGAAUUCUCUGAGAGCCCCUCCUGCAUUGCAACUGCAAUCCUUUAAUAGCAAAGAACACACAUAGUCAGACAGCAUAGACAUAAUAAAUAGUUCAGCUUUGUCUCCUUACUCCUAACCCUAGAACCAUAAACCAACCCUCUAUAUCAAAUUGUCAUUUAGAUACAACCAAUCCUGGACAAACUCAGAGGAUAGAAUGAUUCCAGACACUGCCAUCCAUGGGAAAAGUACCUCCAGCGCUCCCUCCUGACUCAUGUCCGGCCUGUCCCUGGUAAUCUACCCCAGGCUUUUGUCCUUGUCCCGGUGUGGUGAAGACCAACAGAAGAGAGGGAUGUCCUUCCUGCCUCCAAAGCAUGUCUCGGAAAGUGCUGAGAUUAUUUUUUUUUUUUAAUAAUAAAUGAUAUGCUCGUAAAUGGUCAUUUUAAUAUUUGCUCAUGUUGGUAGUUUAACUCAGUCUUUCCCUUUAAAUGCAUCUGGUGAUUCCAGAGACCUGGCGGGCAACUCUCAACAAGAAGCACCAGCAGUGGAUUGACCUGACACUGUUUACCCAAGUUGAAUUCUGAGUUGACCAAAGUCACCUUGCUAAGUCCUCAAACCUGAUGGCUCCAAAAACAGAUUUUCACCAACUCAAAUUGAAUUGACAUUGUUAGGUUUCAUGAUGCUUCUAUCUAAAGUCACCAUAUCCUAGAGAGAUUUACAUGGUUAUCAAAACUUCACGAUGCUUAAAAUUAUUAAAAUACACAAGUGAAUUUUGUUGUGUUUGGGAAAUAUUUCUAUCAAUACAAAUGUGUAGGCGGCUUAACUUACCCUGUCCCGUUGCCUGAGAUCAGGGAUACACAUCAUCCUGAAAUGUGUGGAUAUCUUUGUUAGAAAUAAUACUUUAUUUUCCUUGUCCCAGUGAUGCUGAAUGUAAGACAUGGCUCAACUUACCCCACUCUCCCUACCCUGUCCCUAUACUCAAUUUACUCCAUAUCUGAUCUGGUGUAAAUUGUGCCAAGAGACCACUUUUUUUUGGACAUGCUCGGUUUUCAAAACAGUUUAUAUGAAUUCUGAUUAUUUCCAGUGAUAUACAACAUCCUGAAAUAUAUGUAAAUAUCUCUCUUAGAUAAAAUACUAUAUCUCCCUUGAUGUACUGAUGCGGAAUAUAAAUGUCUCAACAUACCCUACAUACAGUAUGCGUGUGGUACAUUGAGAAAAAAGUGUUGGACUGCCCCUCCCUGCUCUGUCUACUGGGCUUUGCUGCGCUUACUUCCUGCAGGAGAUUGGUGGGCGGAGUAGGGUCGUCAGUGCUGAUGGGGCACACCUGUGAAAGCUCAGCUGUGGCAUAAAGCAACUACUUCCCCAUUCAGCAAGAGAUUCCUCUCCAUGCAUAGUGUUGGUUGUUUUGUUGUGGCUUUGGCAGUUGAUGUGUAAUUUGCUGACCUUCAUAUCUCAUCUGAUUAUUGUUGUGAGUGUUCACUUUAUUUAUGGAAUAAAUUCAUUUUGUUAUUCCUUUA
Molecule: long non-coding RNA, 2276 nt
Organism: Oncorhynchus kisutch (coho salmon)
Lineage: Eukaryota; Metazoa; Chordata; Actinopteri; Salmoniformes; Salmonidae
Exons: 2
Source: RefSeq, a predicted model, not a curated record